This is a non-coding RNA of Manis javanica (Malayan pangolin), 674 nucleotides long. Lineage: Eukaryota; Metazoa; Chordata; Mammalia; Pholidota; Manidae. The record is from RefSeq and is a predicted model, not a curated record.
CUGUGACAGUGGGGGCGAUAAUGACCUUCAGUUAGAAACCUGCCCACAGACAGAAAGCAACAUUCUAUGACUGCCCUGGCUUCUCAAGGAUCAUUCACUGCAGCACUGCCCGAAGCAGGCAGACAAAAUCCUACAGUGUCAGGCUCGUGAGUGUCAGUUUACAGGGGCAAGAUCUGCCUGAGAAGCUGCUGUUCCACCAGGAGACUGGUGGGUGCUGGACUCAGGAAAUCUCAUGGGAGCUGCAAAUGCGAACACAAUCCCUGCUCGAUGCACAGACAUUCAGUCAUAUAGGACAGUACAGCAGGCUGUCAGGAGCCGGGAGCCAAACAACCGGGCGCUCAACACCAUGCCCCACAACACCAGAGCCUGAGCACACCCUCCUGCUCCGUUCCGGAAGGACCAGAUUCCCACAGCCCCCUGGGAGCCCACAGCGGUGGCUUUCAUCAGUGAGUCUGCCCUGCAGGCCUUGUCUCUCCACUGACAUGGUCCCAGGUCUCUGCCCAUACACACUUCUGAUUCCUACCUCUAUGCAUUUACAUAAGACAUCUGCCCGUGGAGACUAUUUCUGAUUCAAUACUCUCAAUAAUCAUCUGAAGACCUCGGAGUACCCCUUGCCCCACUCCCUGCAUGGAAAUGGGCCACAGUACGUCUUUCUAGGAGCCCUUGUGCUCCGA